RNAcentral lists this small RNA (664 nucleotides) under Pongo abelii (Sumatran orangutan). RNAcentral's name for it is "retained intron". The record is from RNAcentral. Lineage: Eukaryota; Metazoa; Chordata; Mammalia; Primates; Hominidae.
GAAUUAGAAAGCUUUGUCUCAAGUUUAAUAAUUUGCCUGAGGUCACACAGCUGGUUAAUGGUUAACAUACUUCUCUGAUAAAGGUCACUAGAGGUUCUUAUGAAGAUACUUUUAGGUGGCAUAACAAAUGUGUUUAUGCAUAUUCAAGACACUCUUGUAUCCACAGGUUGCACUGCUGUGAUCCGUCAUCAUCUCCUAAAGAUGCAUCCUGACUUAUCUCCACACUUGCACACUGAAGAAUGCAACGUCUUGAUUAACUUGCUUAAGGAAUGUCACAAAAAUUACGUAGAAAACAGGACCAAGAGCAGGGAGCAUGGCAUUGCAAUGCGAAAGAAACUUUUUAAUCCUCCAGAGGAAUCCGAAAAAUAAAUUGUAUUUUCACUCGAUGCCUUGGCUGAGAGAAGACCUAAAGACUCUGGGUUGAUACCUGAAAGAAUCCUGUCUUAUUUGGUUUCCAUAAUCCUUUGAAUGGAAAGUGACCUGUGAGAGAUUGAACCGUGGAGAAAUAUGAAAACCCUGGAUUCUGAGUAUUUGUUGGGCAGGGCGUUUAGUACCGUCUCCCCUUUACCAGCAAACCUGACUUCACCAUGUUUAUUCCCUUUGCCUAUAACCAGUUAAUAUCUGAGUAACUUAUCUCCCUCAAUAAAAUAAUUCAUUUAAAUAA